CAACAGUUACUGAACCCUAUCAAACUCCGAAUGCCAUAUACUUGUACCCCGGCAGUCAGACUACGAAUGAUAAGAUCCGUGGUCAAAAGGGAAACAGCCCAGACCAUCAGCUAAGGUCCCAAAGUGUAAGUUAAGUGGGAAAGGAUGUGGGAUUUCUAAGACAACUAGGAUGUUGGCUUAGAAGCAGCCACUCAUUUAAAGAGUGCGUAAUAGCUCACUAGUCGAGAGAUCCUGCGCCGAAGAUGUAACGGGGCUCAAACUUACCACCGAAGCUAUGGAUGUGUACUUUGUACACGUGGUAGAGGAGCUUUCUGUACAGGUUGAAGUCAUACCGUAAGGAGUGGUGGACAGUACAGAAGUGAGAAUGCUGGCAUAAGUAGCGAAAAACAAGUGAGAAUCUUGUUGACCGAAUAUCUAAGGUUUCCUGGGGAAGGCUCGUCCUCCCAGGGUUAGUCGGGACCUACGCCGAGGCCGAAAGGCGUAGGUGAUGGACAACUGGUUGAUAUUCCAGUACCACCAUAAUGCGUUUGACAAAUGGGAUGACGCAGGAGGAUAGGA
This 558-nucleotide ribosomal RNA is filed under the name Clostridium botulinum C. RNAcentral's name for it is "partial 23S ribosomal RNA". It matches the Rfam family "Bacterial large subunit ribosomal RNA", at positions 930 to 1487 of the family's 2925-position model. The record is from RNAcentral. Lineage: Bacteria; Bacillati; Bacillota; Clostridia; Eubacteriales; Clostridiaceae.